UGCAGAAUCAGUGAAUCAUCGAAUCUUUGAACGCACAUUGCGCCCCUUGGUAUUCCUUGGGGCAUGCCUGUUCGAGCGUCACU
RNAcentral lists this ribosomal RNA (83 nucleotides) under Tuber sp. Tsp-hd01. RNAcentral's name for it is "partial 5.8S ribosomal RNA". It matches the Rfam family "5.8S ribosomal RNA", at positions 73 to 154 of the family's 154-position model. Rfam says of the family: 5.8S ribosomal RNA (5.8S rRNA) is a component of the large subunit of the eukaryotic ribosome. It is transcribed by RNA polymerase I as part of the 45S precursor that also contains 18S and 28S rRNA. Lineage: Eukaryota; Fungi; Ascomycota; Pezizomycetes; Pezizales; Tuberaceae. The record is from RNAcentral.